AGCAACAGUAAAUAGAACCUAUGAGCAGUACUGAGGGACAGUGUGACAUUAGUUUCAGCUUAUUCUCUUGGAUCACUGACUGUGGAAACCAGCCUCCACAUCAUAGGACAAUCAAGUAGCCCCAGUACAGGGAUACAGGAAGAACAGAAGUUUCCUGCCAGCAACAGUCAGCCUCUCCUUGCCACCAGUCAGCAAUUGGAAGAUAAAGAUACAAUCAAUCUCAUUUUUAGUCCAAAGUCCUGACACAGUUCUUUUGAAAACAGCAAUUUCAGGACCAUGAAUACAGGAUCAUCAUAAGCACUUAGUAUUUCUCAAAGGAUGAUCACAAAACUUCAUCAAAAUCUACUGAACUGCUCAUCCAACACAAGUAUAUGCUGGACGAAUGAAUGGAGGAUAUUGAGACCCAGGACUGGGUGUGAACCUGGCUUCCACACUGAGCACACUUUUCUGAACUGGUUGAUUCAGGAAUAGACAGCAAGUUUAGCAGCAUUAGAAAAAGAUCAGCUUCCAAGACACCAUGAUUACCAACCG
Molecule: long non-coding RNA, 531 nt
Organism: Fukomys damarensis (Damara mole-rat)
Lineage: Eukaryota; Metazoa; Chordata; Mammalia; Rodentia; Bathyergidae
Exons: 4
Source: RefSeq, a predicted model, not a curated record